RNAcentral lists this ribosomal RNA (493 nucleotides) under uncultured bacterium. RNAcentral's name for it is "bacterial SSU rRNA". It matches the Rfam family "Bacterial small subunit ribosomal RNA", at positions 903 to 1397 of the family's 1533-position model. The record is from RNAcentral.
AAAGGAAUAGACGGGGGCCCGCACAAGCGGUGGAGGAUGUGGUUUAAUUCGACGCAACGCGAAGAACCUUACCAGGGCUUGACAUCCAGUGAAUCAUUGAGAAAUCAGUGAGUGCCUUCGGGAGCACUGAGACAGGUGGUGCAUGGCUGUCGUCAGCUCGUGUCGUGAGAUGUUGGGUUAAGUCCCGCAACGAGCGCAACCCUCGAAUUUAGUUGCCAUCAUUAAGUUGGGCACUCUAGAUUGACUGCCGGUGACAAACCGGAGGAAGGUGGGGAUGACGUCAAGUCAUCAUGCCCCUUACGUCCUGGGCUACACACGUCCUACAAUGGCUGGUACAGAGGGCAGCGAAGCCGCGAGGUGUAGCGAAUCCCAGAAAGCCAGUCUCAGUUCGGAUUGCAGGCUGCAACUCGCCUGCAUGAAGUCGGAAUCGCUAGUAAACGCAGAUCAGCACGCUGCGUUGAAUACGUUCCCGGGCCUUGUACACACCGCCCGU